GUAAAACCAGACACAAUUCUUGUCUGAGUGGAAGAAAUUAACAAAACAACCGUAGAAGUGGGCAAACAAGUAUAGAACCUGAACCCCAAGAGGCAAGUACCUAAUAUUGAAAUCACUUAGGAACAAAGAUUUGAUCUAUCAAGGUGUGAGGAUGGCCUUAGGCUUUUUUUGAGCCUAAACAACUCAAUUUAAAAAAACUCCAGUUUGAAAACUCCAGUCUAAUCAGGCACGCCUAACAGAGCCCUCCAGUAUGGCCUCAGACAAGUUAGUUCCCCUCACCCUGAUAAACAGAGUGAAGCCCCUGGCAGGCUAUCCUCACCUAAGAGGGAAAGGAGAGAAGAUCAGGGUGGAGACCACCAGACCAGAUGUUUCUGACCUCAGGGUAAAUGAUGUCAUGGAGAAAUCCAAUGGUAGCUGAUAAGGAUUGAAAGAGGGGUCAAAAGCCCCCAAAUUAUUAUUUAGUAUAAAUAAUAGAGUUAAUGAACAGGGAUUCAGCCAGAUGAAACAAGGAUGCACUCGAGCUGGAGAGCCUGAUGAGGACCUGGUCUGACAUCCCAUCACUUGUCAUCGUUUGCCUGAUCCUCACAGCUCUCAAACUCUACUGCCUCAUCUGGACCUUGGUGAGAGCCUCAACUUCUCCAUAUUACCCUCUCCUCAACCGGUCAUCCACUCCACCCCAGGAGAAGCCUGCCUUGGUUCUGGAGCUGAUCACCGUGGUCUGAGUGUGCAUCUGCUGGACUUAAGACUUUUGAUCUGACAUUUGAACUUAGCACGCAGAGGGAAUGUCUGUCAUUAGCCUGUCAUGGUGAAGUAUAUUUACACUGCUUAAAAAUUAAUCUAGAAUUGUUUGCUUUCAACUAAUCUAGAAUCGUUUGCUGUGCAUUGAUUAUGUCUAUUGCAGUACCUAGCAUUAAGGACUAUCGUUUUCUUGAUUAAGAACCUAUAGAGAGUUAGCCAAACCCUAAAAAACAAAUGCCGAAUGUCUUCUCUGAUAUAAGGGGGGUGACUCAAAAUGGGGUAGGAAGGAAGAGCAUGAGAUGAUUAUCACUAAAU
This 1053-nucleotide long non-coding RNA is filed under the name Marmota monax (woodchuck). Lineage: Eukaryota; Metazoa; Chordata; Mammalia; Rodentia; Sciuridae. The record is from RNAcentral.